GACGAACGCUGGCGGCGUGCCUAAUACAUGCAAGUUGAGCGCUGAAGGUUGGUACUUGUACCAACUGGAUGAGCAGCGCACGGGUGAGUAACGCGUGGGGAAUCCGCCUUUGAGCGGGGGACAACAUUUGGAAACGAAUGCUAAUACCGCAUAAAAACUUUAAACACAAGUUUUAAGUUUGAAAGAUGCAAUUGCAUCACUCAAAGAUGAUCCCGCGUUGUAUUAGCUAGUUGGUGAGGUAAAGGCUCACCAAGGCGAUGAUACAUAGCCGACCUGAGAGGGUGAUCGGCCACAUUGGGACUGAGACACGGCCCAAACUCCUACGGGAGGCAGCAGUAGGGAAUCUUCGGCAAUGGACGAAAGUCUGACCGAGCAACGCCGCGUGAGUGAAGAAGGUUUUCGGAUCGUAAAACUCUGUUGGUAGAGAAGAACGUUGGUGAGAGUGGAAAGCUCAUCAAGUGACGGUAACUACCCAGAAAGGGACGGCUAACUACGUG
Molecule: ribosomal RNA, 497 nt
Filed under: uncultured bacterium
Lineage: Bacteria
Description: partial 16S ribosomal RNA
Rfam family: Bacterial small subunit ribosomal RNA
Source: RNAcentral